RNAcentral lists this ribosomal RNA (242 nucleotides) under uncultured bacterium. Its description in RNAcentral is "partial 16S ribosomal RNA". It matches the Rfam family "Bacterial small subunit ribosomal RNA", at positions 102 to 334 of the family's 1533-position model. The record is from RNAcentral.
ACGGGUGAGUAACACGUGGAUGAUCUACCCAUCAGUAUGGAAUACCAGUUGGAAACGACUGUUAAUACCGUAUACGAUCUUUUUUCAAAACAAGGUGAAAGGCGGCCUCUGCUUGCAAGCUGUCGCUGAUGGAUGAGUCCGCGCCUCAUUAGGUAGUUGGUAGGGUAACGGCCUACCAAGCCAACGAUGAGUAGCCGGCCUGAGAGGGUAAUCGGCCACACUGGGACUGGAACACGGCCCAG